GACGAACGCUGGCGGCGUGCUUAACACACGCAAGCCGAACGGAAAGGCCCUGCUUUUGUGGGGUGCUCGAGUGGCGAACGGGUGAGUAACACGUGAGUAACCUGCCCUUGACUUUGGGAUAACUUCAGGAAACUGGGGCUAAUACCGGAUAGGAGCUCCUGCUGCAUGGUGGGGGUUGGAAAGUUUCGGCGGUUGGGGAUGGACUCGCGGCUUAUCAGCUUGUUGGUGGGGUAGUGGCUUACCAAGGCUUUGACGGGUAGCCGGCCUGAGAGGGUGACCGGCCACAUUGGGACUGAGAUACGGCCCAGACUCCUACGGGAGGCAUCAGUGGGGAAUAUUGCACAAUGGGCGGAAGCCUGAUGCAGCAACGCCGCGUGCGGGAUGACGGCCUUCGGGUUGUAUACCGCUUUCGCCUGUGACGAAGCGUGAGUGACGGUAAUGGGUAAAGAAGCACCGGCUAACUACGUG
RNAcentral lists this ribosomal RNA (468 nucleotides) under uncultured bacterium. RNAcentral describes it as "partial 16S ribosomal RNA". It matches the Rfam family "Bacterial small subunit ribosomal RNA", at positions 28 to 507 of the family's 1533-position model. The record is from RNAcentral.